UUUCCGUAGGUGAACCAGCGGAAGGAUCAUUAUCGAGCUUUGACUGGGUUGUGGCUGACGUUCCGAGGCAUGUGCACGCCCGGCUCAUCCACUCUACACCUGUGCACUUACUGCGGGUAUCAGAUCGUGAAGCGUGCUCUUUUAGCGGAGCUUGUGAAGGGUGGCUGAGCCUGCGAUUAUCACAAACACUAUAAAGUAUCAGAAUGUGUAUUAGGAUGUAACGCAUCUAUAUACAACUUUCAGCAACGGAUCUCUUGGCUCUA
Molecule: unclassified non-coding RNA, 263 nt
Filed under: plant metagenome
Description: partial contains small subunit ribosomal RNA, internal transcribed spacer 1, and 5.8S ribosomal RNA
Source: RNAcentral